RNAcentral lists this ribosomal RNA (450 nucleotides) under uncultured bacterium. RNAcentral describes it as "partial 16S ribosomal RNA". It matches the Rfam family "Bacterial small subunit ribosomal RNA", at positions 354 to 796 of the family's 1533-position model. The record is from RNAcentral.
GUGGGGAAUAUUGGACAAUGGGCGAAAGCCUGAUCCAGCCAUGCCGCGUGUGUGAAGAAGGUCUUCGGAUUGUAAAGCACUUUAAGUUGGGAGGAAGGGCAGUAAGUUAAUACCUUGCUGUUUUGACGUUACCGACAGAAUAAGCACCGGCUAACUUCGUGCCAGCAGCCGCGGUAAUACGAAGGGUGCAAGCGUUAAUCGGAAUUACUGGGCGUAAAGCGCGCGUAGGUGGUUUUGUAAGUUGGAGGUGAAAUCCCCGGGCUCAACCGGGGAACUGCCUCGAAAACUGCAUGACUAGAGGACGGUAGAGGGUAGUGGAAUUUCCUGUGUAGCGGUGAAAUGCGUAGAUAUAGGAAGGAACACCAGUGGCGAAGGCGACUACCUGGACUGAUACUGACACUGAGGUGCGAAAGCGUGGGGAGCAAACAGGAUUAGAAACCCUGGUAGUCC